AUCAUAGGUGUUUUAUCACGGUGAUGGAAAACUGAUGAAGUCACAUUGUCUGGUAAUCAGAUCUGAAGCAAUAAUGUACUACACGCAGCAGAUUUGGCAGGCGCAGUGGUUUCAAUGAGAUAUCCUCCAUAUGCCCAAGCAUCUGAAUACUUGGUCUCCCGUCGGUGGCCCUGUUUGGUAGGUUAAGGAGCUGGAGGAAGUGACCUUGCUAUAGAAAAUGAGUCAUUGUGGGCGGCCUUUGAGGUUUCAAAAGGCUUGAGCCAUUCCCGGUUUGCUCUCUCUGCUUCCCGUUUGUACAUUGAGUUGUGAGUCCUUAGCUCUCAGCUCCAGCUCCAGUUGCCAAGCCUGCCUGCUGUCACACUUGCCUGCCGUGAUGGUGGCACACUCUUAUCCCUCUGGAGCUGUAAACCCAAAGAAGCCCUUCCUUCUCUAAGUGGCCUUGGUCAUGGUGUUUUAUCAGAGCAAUGGAAAAGCAACUGACAUAGGCUUUCUGAGAAACAUCUGGAAGGAGAGAGGACAGCAGGGCAAAGCAGGCUCAGCCAAGUCCUCAGAUUGCCUGGGCACCCUAUCCAGGACAGCCUUGAAGAGCUGACCCAAGCAUGCGUACUGCCACUAGAAGGAGCUGUAACCCUUGGACUACACCUUUCUUCAGCAGCAGCAGCUCCUGGAAAGAUCCCUGGACAGUCAACACACAAAGUAUCACUCUCUGCUCCAGCACCAUGUCUCCCCGAAUGCCGCCAUGCUUCCCAUCAUCACGGUGAUGGACUGAACCUCUGAAACUAUGAUCUCAUCAUAAUGGAAAACAAGAAAGCUAACCGAGUUACCUGGGAAAUCUCUAAAACAUCGGGGGACUAAGCUGGAAGGAUUCCCACUGGCCGAGAACAAAUGAACAACAAAGAGACCAAUGAGUUGAAUUAUAU
Molecule: long non-coding RNA, 920 nt
Filed under: Cricetulus griseus (Chinese hamster)
Lineage: Eukaryota; Metazoa; Chordata; Mammalia; Rodentia; Cricetidae
Description: lncRNA (ENSCGRG00015032499.1)
Source: RNAcentral